This 760-nucleotide ribosomal RNA is filed under the name Nodulisporium sp. L51. Its description in RNAcentral is "eukaryotic LSU rRNA". The stretch from base 379 to 532 matches the Rfam family "5.8S ribosomal RNA". Lineage: Eukaryota; Fungi; Ascomycota; Sordariomycetes; Xylariales; Xylariaceae. The record is from RNAcentral. RNAcentral also lists the same sequence under 1 other name.
AGCCUUCCGUAGGGUAACCUGCGGAGGGAUCAUUAAUGAGUUACUAAACUCCAAAACCCUUUGUGAACCUUUUACCGUCGUUUCCUCGGCGCGUGCUGCUGCUACCUGGAGCUACCCUGGAAGGCACCUACUGUAGUGGUUGUCUGCCAAGAGCUAUCAUGUCAGGCACCUACCUCUGUAGUGGUUGUCUGCCAUGAGCUGUCUUGGCAGGCACCUACCCUAUGGUGGUUGUCUGCUAAGAGUUAUCCUAGCAGGCACCUACCCUGUAGUAGCUGUCUACCCUGGAGCUACCCUGUAGCCGCGUGAAAGCCCGCCGAAGGACCGUUAAACUCUUGCUUCUACAACUGUAUCUCUGAACACGUAACUGAAAUAAGUUAAAACUUUCAACAACGGAUCUCUUGGUUCUGGCAUCGAUGAAGAACGCAGCGAAAUGCGAUAAGUAAUGUGAAUUGCAGAAUUCAGUGAAUCAUCGAAUCUUUGAACGCACAUUGCGCCCAUUAGUAUUCUAGUGGGCAUGCCUAUUCGAGCGUCAUUUCAACCCUUAAGCCCUGUUGCUUAGUGUUGGGAGUCUACGGCUUCGGCGUAGUUCCUGAAAAUCAGUGGCGGAGUUAGGGUACACUCUCAGCGUAGUAAUAUCUCUCGCUCGUGUGGUGGCCCUGGCUGCUGGCCGUAAAACCCCCUAUUUUCUAGUGGUUGACCUCGGAUUAGGUAGGAAUACCCGCUGAACUUAAGCAUAUCAAUAUGCCGGAGGAAAAAAAAA